AUGGGCAAAAAUUUUUUCAUCCCCACUUCCAAAUCUGCCUUCUUUAAAGAGGAUUUAAUUUAAUGAUUUAUGGAGUGUGUAACCGAUGGCCAGAUUGAAUGUUCAUUCAAUUUCUUGCAUUGAAGAUGUGGAUUGAAUCCCAUUUAACCUUUACAAGAAACUGAAGAAGUUAAACGCCCCUUUUAUUUACUCAUCAUCACCCUGCAACCGUUUACAUCAUCAGAAGCAGCAAUAGUUACAAUCAACAAAUCCAUAAGCAUUUCUCUGUGUCUCCCCAAAUUCCCAAUUUCUCAUACCUGAAGACAAAAUCUGGCAUUUCUGACCCCCAUAGGGGUUGGUCGAUGGCGGUUAUAGGUGAGGGGAACGCCGGUGGUGAUAAUAUCGCAAACCUGGUUAGGAUUUUAAUUAGAGGUGCUCGAUUGCCGUGAAUAGAAGGGUGGCAACAGUUAAAGUUGAUGAAGGACUGUGAACAUGGCAAAAGGAUGGCGGCGGAGCCGGAGAAAGGUGGAUGAGGUGAUUGCGGAGGUCCGGCGAUGGGGGCGGCGAUAAUGGCUUCGGUCAUGACCCUGCGGAUAUUGCUGGACUUGAAUCUGCACUAAAUAACCACAAAGUGUUAGUCUUUUCUUCAUGGAGUGAUUGCUUUUUAUCCAUGGAGUGAUUGCUUUUUAUCUGUUGGAGAUGAUUCGUGUGUCGCUUUAGCUUCACUUGACACUUUACGGGUCGAGAGAAUGCAUAGCAACAUCUGCAUGGUGGCGAGGGAGGGACGACUGACUGAACAAUUUGCUACUUCAGUGCAAAAUAUUCUUACCGUUGAUAUGAGGUACAAUCCUUUAUCAUAUUUCCAAUUUAUUUGUAUUUAUCUUACUAGCUAUAUGCAACACUUGAUGAACUUUUUCAGAUACUUCUGUUUGAAACUGAAUUUGACAUAAAUAUCAUACAUUUUUUGUUUAUAUUAUAUAAAUUGUCAACUUACAAGCUGCAUAAUGCUUUCCCGAUCAUAACCUAGUAGUUUGGCGGCGUUCACUGAACUUACUAUCAAGGUAUGUAUGUUAUGAGGUUAUAUAUACGCACACGCCCACACACUUUUUUGUUGUAGUUGUUGUUGUUGUUGUUAUUGUUAUUAUUACAAUGAUGGUGUUUUAAUGUUGUAUGGCGCUGGACAUCAUUCGUCUGUGGAAUGGAUUCUGCUAAACAAGAGAGGCAACCACUAUUGAUAAGCCAGAGACCGGAAUGGUCCAAUGCUACUGAGUUGUUCCCAAACGACGACCCUAAUUCCAUCAUUCGAUUGCAUACUUGGAAUGGUUUGCCGAGAUCAUGGGCUACUUUCGAGCCAUGUAUUUGUUUGAGGGCACUUCGAGCAGUGUAGCUUCAAGAACUUAAAUCUCUGUGGCUUCCAUCCCUGAUCCCGCCGGUUUCCAGUCUCUCCAUGGCUUCAAUCCUUGGCUCCCCGUGUGUCUCUCUUCUUUCUCUCACGGGACCAACAAGUCAAUUCCAAUGGUUUUCUUUAUCACUGAUGGCACUGCUGAAAAUGAAAGACAGAUCUGUGAAGUAAUGCAGAAGCAACAAAAAACAAAGGAUCAGAACUGUUUCCUCGUAUUCACACGUUUGGUAUAGGUUCAUUCUGCAAUCAUUACUUCUUGCGAAUGCUAGCGAUGAUGAGCAAGGGACAUUAUGAUGCCUCUUAUGACACGGAGAUAUAUACGAGAAGCCACUGAUGACUAUUGUGGGCUUCUAAACCUGCUUCUUCAAUAAUGACAUGUAAUUGAUGGUCCAGAUGAUCUGGAAAUUUACCCUUCAACCAUUCCAGAUCUUUGUUAUAAUAGACCAUUGAUCAUAUCAGGGAGAUAGAAAAACUGGAAGCUAAGGGCACCAUUGCUGAUAUGAGUAACUUCACUAUUGACAUAGAAGUACAACACACAAAUGACAUACCACUUGAAAAGGCUGAUGUGCGUUUUUGUUUGAGGCUUUCGUUUGUGAAGAUGGUUUGGUGGACCAUUUGUGUUUGGGUUAAGGUCUUAACAGCGCUUUCGAAAUCUAUGACAUGAUUUUAACUUCAACUUAACUUGAACAGGACUCCCUCAAUAGGAGUAUUGGUAAUUUCCUUCCAAAUCAUACACAAGCAGUUUGUGAAUUUUAGAGAGAAGUCGACAUCCAUUUGGCCUAUUGGCAACAGAGAUGCAGAGGAAAUCUUUGAAGAGGUAUUAUUUGAUAGGAUUGGGCAAUCCGCUUCAGAUGCUCGGACGUUUUCAAGCCGUGAAAGAGAGUUAGAUUGAUUUCAAUUAUGUUACAAUAUUUGUCUUAGUGGUAUUUCUUUAUAUACCUAAAGAGACAGAUCAACUUUUUAAUGGGUUUCGUAAGAAAUGGGAUUCGGGUAGUCAUGAUGAAACCGUGUGUUGAUGGAGUUUACAAGGUGAUUUACACUCUGUCGCAUCGUGCGAGCUCCUGACUAGGUUGUACAACAACCUCCCAUGAUAUCAUCACUUCACUACCACUUGAUUGCCUGAUGUCAUGUCGUGUUGUCGACUCCGCCGCAACGCACGGGUUUCCCACUAUUGCAUACAAAUGGACCACCAUCU
This 2576-nucleotide long non-coding RNA is filed under the name Helianthus annuus (common sunflower). Lineage: Eukaryota; Viridiplantae; Streptophyta; Magnoliopsida; Asterales; Asteraceae. The record is from RNAcentral.